Molecule: long non-coding RNA, 1189 nt
Organism: Planococcus citri (citrus mealybug)
Lineage: Eukaryota; Metazoa; Arthropoda; Insecta; Hemiptera; Pseudococcidae
Exons: 3
Source: RefSeq, a predicted model, not a curated record
CGGAAUUCAGAUUGUGAUCUGUGGGCUGUGUUCAUUCAUAACUGUAGUGGAUUUUUAUUUCGUGAGAGUUGUGUUGAUUCGACAUUUCGUUCAGUUUAGUCUAAUGUGUUUAAAUUAGCGUAUCAUUUGAUCAAAAUAAUUCUUGUUUGAAAAUUAAACGUAAAUUUUUGGAAAAUUCCAAUGUCAUCCAAGUUCUUCAAGUGUCUCUGCAAAGGAAAGAGUUACAUCAAAUCGAAAAAGUGUACUUUUUCGUGGACAAUCGACCAAUAUUCGCGCCUCAUUGAGCGAGGGGAACAAGAAUUUAAAUCUUCUACAUUCUCCACUGUUAAAGAUCGCUUAAAAUGGCGUUUAGGUCAUAAAUACUCUCAUUACUGUCGGUUUUGUUCCGAGUGUCGCGAAUGCGUUUUAUUCUGCUUAUAUCCCGAAUCCAAAACCGACCUCAAAAAGUACUGCCCAAUAUCGGGAAAUGUAGAAAUAUCUGUGAUGACUCACGACCGAGGAGAAGUAAUAAUUUCGAGAAAAAUUCCCUUAAGUAUUGACUAUACUGCGGGGCGAAGAGUUUGCGCAUUAUUCUCCAUAUCUCUCGAUGAAAUGAAGACGUACAUAUUUCAAGACAAAUUGACAAUAGUUUGCAAACUGACGUAUGUAAAAAAUAAGGAUAUGAGUUCUAGGCUAGUGAAGUUGGCAGGAAAAAUGAGGUAGGUAAUUUGGAAAACUUCGGUGGAAAGCUGAAUUUUGGUAUACUGGUCCAUUUUUAUGUCCCAAUUGAGGAUUUGAGGUGGUCCCCCUAAAUUGUGUAUCCUAGCCUCCGAAAAAUGGACCAGUACUUAUACCAAAAUUUAGCUUUCCACCAAAGUUUUUCAAAUGAAAUGCCAAUUCUCGUGGACUAUUCGACAAAUCUGCAAGUCUCAGAAUCUCGCUUGUCAAACGACCUCGAACGAUUGUUCAACGAUGACUAUUUCAAAGACGUGACAUUUUCAGAUAAAGGCAAAAAGUACACGGUCAUAAAACAAUUCUAGCUGCUCGUAGUCGUAGUUCGGUUUUUAAUAUGUACAUACCUACUGAUUGUAUGUAUUAUUUGUGUGUUAUUCUGUGUUAUUAUGAUAAUGAUGAUGAUUUAAGAAUUUUUUCCUUGUACACAUCUAAUCAUAAUAAUUUUCUUGAUGACAUUUUGAGCUAUUUUUGCAAU